Molecule: ribosomal RNA, 330 nt
Filed under: Anaplasma phagocytophilum
Lineage: Bacteria; Pseudomonadati; Pseudomonadota; Alphaproteobacteria; Rickettsiales; Anaplasmataceae
Description: bacterial SSU rRNA
Rfam family: Bacterial small subunit ribosomal RNA
Source: RNAcentral
UGGUUUAAUUCGAUGCAACGCGAAAAACCUUACCACUCCUUGACAUGGAGAUUAGAUCCUUCUUAACGGAAGGGCGCAGUUCGGCUGGAUCUCGCACAGGUGCUGCAUGGCUGUCGUCAGCUCGUGUCGUGAGAUGUUGGGUUAAGUCCCGCAACGAGCGUAACCCUCAUCCUUAGUUGCCAGCGGGUUAAGCCGGGCACUUUAAGGAAACUGCCAGUGGUAAACUGGAGGAAGGUGGGGAUGAUGUCAAGUCAGCACGGCCCUUAUGGGGUGGGCUACACACGUGCUACAAUGGUGACUACAAUAGGUUGCAACGUCGCAAGGCUGAGC